RNAcentral lists this ribosomal RNA (253 nucleotides) under uncultured bacterium. RNAcentral's name for it is "partial 16S ribosomal RNA". It matches the Rfam family "Bacterial small subunit ribosomal RNA", at positions 524 to 776 of the family's 1533-position model. The record is from RNAcentral.
UACGGAGGGUGCAAGCGUUAUCCGGAUUCACUGGGUUUAAAGGGUGCGUAGGGGGGAAUGUAAGUCAGUGGUGAAAUCUCCGUGCUUAACAUGGAAACUGCCAUUGAUACUAUGUUUCUUGAAUUUUCCGGAGGUAAGCGGAAUAUGUCAUGUAGCGGUGAAAUGCUUAGAUAUGACAUAGAACACCAAUUGCGAAGGCAGCUUACUACAGGGAUAUUGACACUGAGGCACGAAAGCGUGGGGAUCAAACAGG